This 305-nucleotide ribosomal RNA is filed under the name uncultured bacterium. Its description in RNAcentral is "bacterial SSU rRNA". It matches the Rfam family "Bacterial small subunit ribosomal RNA", at positions 337 to 660 of the family's 1533-position model. The record is from RNAcentral.
GCCUACGGGAGGCAGCAGUGGGGAAUAUUGCACAAUGGGCGAAAGCCUGAUGCAGCAACGCCGCGUGAAGGAAGAAGGUCUUCGGAUCGUAAACUUCUGUCCUUGGGGAAGAUAAUGACGGUACCCUUGGAGGAAGCCCCGGCUAACUACGUGCCAGCAGCCGCGGUAAUACGUAGGGGGCAAGCGUUAUCCGGAUUUAUUGGGUUUAAAGGGUGCGUAGGCGGGAUGCCAAGUCAGCGGUAAAAAUGCGGUGCUCAACGCCGUCGAGCCGUUGAAACUGGCGUUCUUGAGUGGGCGAGAAGUAU